CAGCAGCCGCGGUAAUGCGAAGGGUGCAAGCGUUGUCCGGAAUUAUUGGGCGUAAAGGGCUCGCAGGCGGUUUCUUAAGUCUGAUGUGAAAGCCCCCGGCUCAACCGGGGAGGGUCAUUGGAAACUGGGAAACUUGAGUGCAGAAGAGGAGAGUGGAAUACCACGUGUAGCGGUGAAAUGCGUAGAGAUGUGGAGGAACACCAGUGGCGAAGGCGACUCUCUGGUCUGUAACUGACGCUGAGGAGCGAAAGCGUGGGGAGCGAACAGGAUUAGAUACCCCGGUAGUCCCUGUCUCUUAUAC
RNAcentral lists this ribosomal RNA (301 nucleotides) under uncultured bacterium. Its description in RNAcentral is "partial 16S ribosomal RNA". It matches the Rfam family "Bacterial small subunit ribosomal RNA", at positions 509 to 807 of the family's 1533-position model. The record is from RNAcentral.